Homalodisca vitripennis (glassy-winged sharpshooter) is the source of this 2250-nucleotide long non-coding RNA. RefSeq lists it as uncharacterized. The record is from RefSeq and is a predicted model, not a curated record. NCBI's taxonomy places the organism in Eukaryota, Metazoa, Arthropoda, Insecta, Hemiptera, Cicadellidae. The transcript is spliced from 2 exons.
AAUGAGGUUCCCGAUGCUUUAUGUUGGCUUCAUCCCAAUUCAUAUGAUGGUCUCCGGGCCAAAAAUGGUGGGUAAUUUUUUACUUUUCUGUGAAUCCCUUUCUCGUGUGACGUCUACUUGUCUUUUUGUCUCGCCUAUGUAUUCCCUAUUGCAACUACAUUUUAUACUGUAAACACAGUUUUUGGAAUCCUGUGUGACAUUUGUUUGGUUUUGUUUAUACUGGACUUUGUCUUUGAAUAUUGUGUGUUUUAAACGCGGUUCUACUGUUAUACUUUCUACCUAAAUGUUCUCCGAUAAUCCCGGCACAUAAGGGAUUGAUAUAACCGCAAAUUUAUCACUGUUCUGUUUUUCUAACUCAGGAAUGAUUCUUCUGGUUCGUUUGCACUUAUUUAUUACUAAUUGAGGGCAUCCAUUGCAUCUAAGGUCCGAUUCAAUUUUCUUAAAUUUCUCUUUUAAUCCAUCCUUAUCUGAGCAUAAGCUCUUUGCUCUAUCAAACAGGUUAAUCGCACAUACAGUAGUGGUUUCAUUGUGGAGCGCUAUGUAUCUCUCCUAAGCGCUUUAUUAUUUAAAACACGUGUAGCUACAAUGCGGUGCUUGAAUACGUGAUUCGAAAAAAUAGAAUCCAUAUACAAAUAGUCUAUACUUUCCAUAGAUAGGAAAUAAUCAGCCUUUAAUUAAUUUAGCGGAAAUAAUGAAAUAUAACUAUUUAUCCUGACAUAUUACUUAAAUUUUAAAUUAACUUCCGCUCGUUUUUAUGCAAUGUUGACAAGUACGUGAAAGGUUUGUCCUAUUGACAGUAUAAUGUAUUAUGGCACAGUUAAAAAAUGCAGGUUUAAUGUUGUAUCGACAAUUACCAGAAAUCAGUGUGGUUAUAGCCUUUGAGCAUAUACCUGUUUCUGAAUCUAGUACCAGAUGGACCUUUUUAACUAUAGUAAGAAUCUUACAGAAUAUUUGUUUUAGGAAAACGUCCAAAGCUAUGAAACAACGAUUAGCUGCAUCGUAUCGGGUUUUUGGUGAACCAUUACUAGUUUACUGGCGUAACUCGUUUCCUCUGUUGAGACAAUAUUGGUUUGUAGAAUGAACUCAUUAGUGAAGCCAAGAAAUGGAGCCACAUUCUGAUCUAUAACUUGUUUUAAUACAUAAAAGAAGUAAUGGAUGUAGUUUCUACGCGAUUCGUUUAUUUGGACCUUCUUAUUUGACCCCUAAUUUCAGAUAACUUCCAGGUGAACUCUCGUUGUUUUCCUGCCUGAUGUGUGGAAAUGCCUACAAGCACCAGAGGAACCUUCUGCGUCAUCGUCAGUACGAGUGCGGAAAGGCGGCUCAGUUCCAGUGUUCCCUGUGUCCGUACCGUUCCAAGCAGAAGGCCACGUUGAAGAGACAUGUAGCCACUGUACAUUACGGUGGAACCAGCCCGCUCUUGGCCAGUGGACAGUCAGCGACCGUUCUGUCCCAGUUGGUGCUGUCUAAUCAUAACAUAGCAGCGUAACUUUAUGUGCUGAUAGAAUUGUAAUUGGUCCGAUUCAGUGCACGUGUGUCCCAACUGCUCGAAGAUGUACAAGUACGGGAAAUCCUUGGCCCUCCAUUGCCGCUACGAAUGUGGAAGGCCAGCUCAGUUCCAGUGUUCCUCCUGUCCAUAUCGUGCAAAACAGAAAGGGAAUUUACGCCGUCACAUGGCACUACGUCACAACGACUCAGUUGUCUCCUCCACGCUCCCUGUCGGUAUCUAAGUGGACAGCAAGUGGAAGUAGCCUAACGGUGAUUGUAAGGAGACAUUUCUGUACUGUCGACAUGUCUGACAAUGUUACAGACGAAGUAUCAGAGUGUUGUCUUACACUAAAUCCUAACAGUACUGUUAACUAGAAAAACUUCUUGAUAAUAAAUAUAUUUAUUGUAUUAGAUAAAUUGAUACAUAAUUUAUUUUCAAAUUAUUAUAAUACAGUUUUAUGGUCUUGAUUUGUUUCCAAAUUAACGACCCGUAUGAGUCUUUAAAAAUGUAAUGUUAACAUUUUAUGUCUAACCAUGGAGUUUGGCCUAUCACUCAGUAGGCUGAUACAAUUUCUCUUUCUUUGUAAGGCGUUGUACAACUUGCCUGCCACAUGAGUAUCUGCAGUUAUAUCUAUGAGUAAUGAAAUGAGCUAUGUACUUGUAAUGUUGAAUUAAAUGUCAGCGAGGCCUAUCACGCGGCUUGUGGUGUGACGUUCUCCUACAUAUGCUAUGUACAUAUAUAUGCUAAUAAACAGAUUUUCUCUA